UCCUAUAGGCCUACAGCUGACUGGCGGGAAGUUCAGAUCUUGUGUCCUGACGCCAGCGCUUUGCGGUCCGUCAGGGAGCUCCAGAUUUCCCUCAAGCGGCUAAUUCUGUGGUUUCAUGGGGUUGGGAGCCAAGCUGAGAACCGAGGUCACAGGGCAACUCACCACCCUGAAAUCUGGAGAUCGAGGUAAAUCCAGGGAGCCAUGGCCAAGACCUACUUACCUGGGGCAGAAGCCACUGAAGCCAUAAACUAGGAACACUUACAUGGUAAUUUUGAUGAAUUGCUGGAGACUGAGCGUGGAAUAGCAUGAGUGAAACUACUGGAGGCUGCAGAUUUAGAGCAUCCCUGACACUUCUGUGGGUUUUUCCUCCAGGAAGCCCAGCAGGUUCUCACAAAGAAGAACCAAGAAAGAUCUCCUGUGGCUCUGGCAGAGGGAUGAGAAGAAUAAUCAUUGUGCAAUAUGCCCAGAACCUUCUCAAUAAUAAAGGCCUACUUUCCAAAGGAAAAGAUUUUACCAGAUCCUUAUCCCACCAGGGGCAAGGACAUUCCUCUGACUACAGUCUCGUCCACCCUUCCUGUCUCUCCUAAGCGCAGAAAGGGGAGCUAAGAAACACUUGUAUAGGUCACAGCCCAGGGACACAGCCCUACUAAAAGAGAUUUAAUCAUAAAAUUGUAGAACGCUUUCCCUUUCCAACACUUUACCACCAUGUCAACAGCACUCUGGUAUAAUAACAGAUGAUUACAGAUGGAAGUGCUGCAAAACACUCUGUCUAACAAGGAACUUUUAGGGAAAUCCAAAGACAACAGGAGAUCAAAAAAACGCUAGAGGAAUUUGAAGCUCCGGAACCUACAGCUACAGCAAACAUUAAAUACAACCCAAGUCCCGGCCACAUAAUAAAAAACCUCACACUAAAGCUCUAUUUACCUCAGUUCCUGUUACCCAAUAUAUCACAUCUAGUUUUCAACAAAAAACUACAAGGCUAAAGGCAAGUUGAUAAAAGGCAAGUAAAAACAGCAUCAGAAUUGGACUCAGCUAUGACACAGAUUUGGGGAUUAUUAAACAGGAAUUGAAGAUAACUAUGAUUAAUAUACUAAGGGAUCUGAUGGAAAAUGUGGACAACAUACAGGAACAGAUGGGUUACGUGAGCAGAGAAAUGGAGACUCUAAGAAAGAAUCCAAAGGAAAUUCUAGAAAUCAAAGACACUAACAAAUGAAGAAUGCCUUUGAUAGGCUCAUCAGUAGACUGGACACCACUGAGGAGAGAACCAGUGAGCCUGAAGAUGUGUCAAUAGAAACUUCCCAAACUGAAAUGCAAAGAGGUUAACAGCAAAUAGAUAACCCUACCGGGAUUUUCAGACCUCACCUUAGACUCAAAUUGUUCUCCUACAUUAGAAGAGGACUUGUGGGUGGUGGGGGGUGGCAGGUGGUAUUGUCAAUGUUUUCAGUUUUUGGGGGGUCUUAUUAUAAACCCAAUUACCACAAAAGUAAAACUGACUACAGGGUGUGUACACUGCAAGAAUAUUUUGAAAGCAGGAUGCAACCGUUAUGUUCAUUUAAUCCCAUUAGUCUAGCAACUUCCACAAGAACUUUUUACAAAAAAACAUGGCUUAUGUAUAGCUUCUCAUAAAGUAGCCUCUAAUUAAACCUUGUUGGCUGGGCCGUCACCAGAAAUUUUUGUUUUGAACACGGAUGCAUCCCAAGCAUUUAGAAUAGUGCCUGGCAUACAAUAGGUGAUAAAGAUUUGUGAAAUGAACAAAUGAUUGAAACUAUAUUACUGUUAUGAACAUAGGAGAAAGCUCUACUCAGAAAUAACUUGGAAGAAAUAUGGUUCUUCAUCAGAGUUUUAUCUAUUUAUAUUUUCAAAAAGCCAACUUAUGGCUUUGUUAAUUUUUUUCUUUUGUUUCUCUAUUUCCAAGUCCAUUUUUUCCUUCUCUUACCAUCAUUAUUUCCUUCUCUGCUUGCUGUGGGUUUAAUUUGCUCUUCUUUUUAUAGUUUCAUAAGGUGGAAGCUUAAAUCUUUAUUGAAGACCAUUCUUUUCAAAUAUAAAUGUAUACAAUGUAUAAAUAUAUACAAAUUUUCCUCUAUGCUCUUGCUUUAGCUGCCCCUCAGAUUUUAAUAUGUUGUGCUUUUUCAUUCACUCAAUUAAAAAUAUUUAAAGACUU
Equus caballus (horse) is the source of this 2161-nucleotide non-coding RNA. Lineage: Eukaryota; Metazoa; Chordata; Mammalia; Perissodactyla; Equidae. The record is from RefSeq and is a predicted model, not a curated record.